UAAUUGUCAUCAAAUUACUUUUGGAUGCAAGGCACACCUAGCUCGUACUCCCACACAUCGUUUUGAAUGUACAUUCCAGAACUUCCCCGUGAAAAGAGAAAUUUCACUAGCUUUCAAUGCUUUGCCCAUUGGUUGCCUUCAAAUGUCACAAGUCUAUCACCUAUAAGCUUCUUCACUUGGUCUUGGGGGCACAUUUUAGGAAAAUGACAUAAAUGGUCCUUAAAUUUUGGCCCAAUGUAUAAUUUAGUCCCUGAAUUUUUAAUUUGUGCAAUGUGAUCCCUGAACUUUAGAUUAAUGUGCAAUGUGCUCCCUGAGCUUUUAAUUUGUUUGAUAUAACCCCUAAACUUUUGGUACAUAUUUAAUCUAGUCUC
RNAcentral lists this long non-coding RNA (371 nucleotides) under Eucalyptus grandis. RNAcentral's name for it is "long non-coding RNA (EGRA_LNC007183)". Lineage: Eukaryota; Viridiplantae; Streptophyta; Magnoliopsida; Myrtales; Myrtaceae. The record is from RNAcentral.